GUCAACAGCUUGUACUGCAGUAGCAGAGGGGAACCCCCAGAGCCACAGUCCCGAGAGCAGGGUCUGUAGCACGUCCUGCCAUGGAGAGAGAAGAGUCAACUGUUACACUUUCAGAGGUACUGAUACCGUCAGGAUCCAAAGCUCCUGCCGUUGGGUAACAGCUGGUAGCCUGUAGGACAGAGGCACUGGAAACCCCCUAUUGUGUUCCGGCACUCAUGUUGGCACGGGUUCCUCAGCAAGCACUCAUCCAGAUCUGUACAGAGACCGAUGACACAAUGAGGUGAGCAAGACGUAACACACUCAACUCCCUUGCUUGUGGCCUUUGCUUACAGACAUUCAAAUCAAAUUAGAAACUGCAAAGCUUUUUCUUCAUCUUGUCCACAAACACAGAUGCCAAAUAUAUGACUGAACGGGAAUCUUACUACUUCGGGGGGGAAGAGACGACUCACCGACACAUGUGCCAUCUCUGUUGGUAUAGCCUAUGGGGCAGCUCUGUCUGGUGAUGCGAGAUACCCCAUGAUGCCGAGAGGGAAUGGGCCUACCCAGCGACGACACCAGCUGUGGGCGCAGUCUUGCCCUGACACGGCUACCGUUGGAGAAGGCCUGUCCUCUCUCUAGACCAGCACAAGUGCGCCCAUCCCCCGUUAACACAGUGCCUGGUGGGCAGAGGCACCGGAAGCUGCCUGGCAUGUUACGGCACUGGUGGGCACAGGGGCUUGGCCUCUGUAGGCACUCAUCAAUGUCUGAAAGGCAAAACAAGACUCAGACACUACUUAGAACAAGAUUUUAUUGGACAGUAGCAUAUUGUUUAGUGUAGUAAUACAUGUCUAUGCCAAAAUGAAGUGUCUUACCCAGGCAUGGACGGCCCACCCCCUGGGACUGAUAACCUCUGGGGCAGACACAGCCGUACCCCCCAAUGGUGUUCUGACACAUCUGGCUGUAACGGCACAAGUGGCUUCCAUCCUGGCAUUCGUCCACAUCUGUGAAUCACAAUGUUGGUAAACACAGGGCAUACUAUAAUGAUAGGAUCAGCAUUCUCACACCACAAACCUGCGUGCAACAACAUUCAAAGUAAAAGAUGGGUGAAGUAUAAAUGGCAUCAUACCCACGCAGGCUCCAUUCUCUCCCAUUCUCAUGCCAGCUGGGCAGCUGUCGAAACACUGGUAGCCUCCCUCGGUGUUGCGGCACUGCUGGUGAGCUGGGCACACAUUCCUGCUGCACUCGUUGAUGUCUGUAUACAAACAAACACAAAGGGUUAGAGAUUCCACAAUUUAACUUGUAUGAUACUGGUAUGAAAUAUUUGAGUCUGUUGAUAAUAUCAUCAGUGAGUCACAGGGUCCACUGACCAAGACAGCGCUGGCCAGACAGCUGGUAGCCAGGGUUGCAGACACAGCGGAAGGAGCCCAAGGUGUUCAGACACUGCUGCUGACACGGGGAGAGAGACGACUCCUGGCACUCAUCCACAUCUGAAACUCACACCACAGGUCAAACUCUGUUACUAAUAUGCCUUAUUGUCAGGACCUUAUUAUAAGAUGGAGACUAGAAUGUAUUCUAUUCAGUGCAUGACUGAAAAACAAUCCCCCCCUCCCAAAAAAGUGUAUUUGUUGUGAAUAGACUUGCCUUCACAGCUGGAUCCCAUGGCGCUGGGCUUGAAGCCUGGGACACAUUUAGCCUGGCAGCGGUAUGUGCCAACCGUGUUCACACACUGCUGGUUGUAGUGGCACAUGUGGGAGCCCUGGGCACAUUCAUCAAUAUCUGUAGAGAGAUACCACAUGUGAGGUCAAACACAAGAACACUGUCUGCAAUACAGCAGUAGGAUGUAUACUUUCACAGUGAUAAUAUCACCCCGGAACCAAAUAGUGCGUGUGCUAGCUAACUGAUUCUGUUUACAUUUUAUCCCCCAACACUCUUUUCUUUUUUUUUUAUUACAAAUUUCAAAAUAGAUUACCUUCUAAAUAUAGCAUACAAAUCACCAUGAUACCAGAUCCCUUUACAGACCGAUCACUUACUGUAACGUUAUAUCUAAUUAGGAGAUACUGUAUAACGGUGUGAUAAAUUAUGCAGCAUUCAGUUUCCUGCGGCUGACCUUGACAUGUGUUGGUUUCUGGGGAGAUGGUGAAGCCAGAGGGACAGGCACAGGAGAAGCCACCCAUCACAUUGUUGCAGGAAUGUGAGCAAGGCGACUCGGCAGCACAUUCAUCCUCAUCUAAGCAUUCAGAUACAGUUUAUAAAGGUAAUCUGCAUUAAUGAGUUAAUUGAAUUGCAAACUACAAAAUAACAUUGGUCGAUCCAACAAAGAAAUUGAAGAAGGAAAAGGUAUACAAAACAUACCUGUACAGUAAGAGGCUGUAUCCAGGACAAAACCUUCCGGGCAUGUUUUUCCAUCCCCAUCUAAAGACAGAGGAGCACAUUCAAUCCAUGAGCAGAAGAUGCUACUGUAUCACAACUUUAAACAAUGAAAAUUACAUCUUAAAAAUGAAUGUGUUUGCUACAGUACAUCAGUUAAAAUUCAAGUGUUUGACUGACUGUCUGUUAGUCUGUAUUGUUAGCCUGCCUUGUGGUAAUCUGUCUUAUAUUUCCACUGACCAGGUAGGAGUAGGGAGGCUGUGAUCUGGAAGUCCAGACUGAGAGUGAACAUGCUGUAGAUGCCAUCCAUCUGGGACACCUUGAUGAGCUGCAGCAGUGGCCCCUGACGCUCCUCUCGGCCCUCGUAGAUGAUGGAGUGGUUACAGCGCAGCACCAUGGGACCGUCUGCUCUCUGGUGGGCCUGGGACGACCAUGAGUACAGCUGCCCUGGUCCCGUUUGCACGUAUGACUCAUCAAACUCCUGCAUGACACAAAGCAAUCAUCACAUUAGAGAUAUAUUAUGUUGAGAUUUAAUUAAGACUUUUAUGGUUUGUCACAGUCAGGGACUUCAGCUGGCCUUAGGAUGACAGUGUUAAUCAUUACACACCUGCAGAUUGAGAUGGGAGGUUGAUAAUGUCAGAGGGACAAAGCCGUUGAUAACAAUGUCUAUUAGGAGAGCCCCCUCUGAGUCCAGACCUCUGGCUACAUGGGUCAACUGAAGGAUCUCUCCUGGUUACAAACACAAACACAAUAUUCAAAUACAUCUGGGAUACAUUAUAAAACAGUCACUUGGGAGAGUUGUCUGUCUGAAGAGGACCCACCCCAUAUUUUUGGGGGUUCUUAUUGAAGUUGCCAAAGGAGUCCGUUAUUGAAACCAGAUCCUAGUAAUAAUUUUUUUAAACUGUAGUCAUGGAGAACUAUGCCCUCUGCUGGUUCUCUUAUGUACAGAUUUAAAGGGACAAUGCCGCUUACGAGAGACAACCACUGUUAUAGGACUACAUUUACAGUAGAGUAAACCUUAGUUCAGGUUAAUAUACAGGAUGUUAUUGUAUCUGUUCUUCAGUGCAGACCUGUGUCAAACUCCAGCUGUGACUCCUGUCUGAACAGGCCCUGGGUCAGGGAGUAGCCGUUCCUGGCUGCUCCAGUCUGCAGCACUGUGGUCCAGUAGAUGGGAGCAAACACAGACACCAACACCCGUAGCAAUGGACCUGCAAAACAUCAGUAGUUAGACCACAGCCUCUAUGGAAAUACCUCUGAGCAAAGUGUGAUAGGUCAAGAUACAGCAAUGAUCAGUGGCUGAGUGAUCUAUGUGCUUGAUUAUGGGAAAUAACUUUACAGCAAGUGCUUGAUUAUUGCAUUUAGAUGUGCUUCUGAGAGGCUCCUACUGGUUACUGUAAGACAUCUCUCACACUCCCAUACUCACCCACACUAGGAGGGAUGUUGUCCAGGUGGGCCUGCAGGGUGCUGGUGCCCUCUUCUGGGUUAUCUGUGAUGUUAGCCUCCAGGAACGACACCCCAAACUCCCUAUCAUUCACCACCCCUAUCAGACUCCCCCUGGCCUUACGAGGGGCCUCCCCUUCAGUCAACAGAGACAGAUACAUAAGUAUUAAGUUAUACAUUAUUUAAGAGUAGCUGUACUAUACCUUCUAUGUACACACAUUAUUUAAUUGUUAAAUUCAGCUGCGUCCGUUUGGAGUGACAGGAGAACAGUUCAAACACCCGUACCUGGACAGAGUCCAAUCUGACAUCUCCUGGAGUCCCUACUGGGAGCGUCACAUGAUUUCCCCCCAUUGGCCAGCUCUGGAUUGUUGCAUAACCUGAUUCGCUCCUGAUUCCCUCGACCACAGGUGGUGCUGCAUGGGCCCCAAUCCUCCCAGUUAGAAUAACCUCCAUUGACUGUGGCAGGAGAGGGAGAGUAGGGAGGGAGACGGAGAUCAUCCAUAUAGAGAAUUAAAUAAACAAUCCAUAAUUACUAUUGUGUGUUUUCUUAUUCCUUUGAUAUAAUGGAUCGAGAGGAUCGAAUUGUAAGAAUAUUAGAUUUAUUUUAUUUAUUUAUUUAUAGGGGACAAUCAACAUUAAUCAACAUGAAUAUUACAAUAAUGCAACAUCCAUGUAAAUGUGCCGGGG
Molecule: long non-coding RNA, 4473 nt
Organism: Oncorhynchus tshawytscha (Chinook salmon)
Lineage: Eukaryota; Metazoa; Chordata; Actinopteri; Salmoniformes; Salmonidae
Source: Ensembl